Long non-coding RNA from Eucalyptus grandis, 778 nucleotides. RefSeq lists it as uncharacterized. The transcript is spliced from 3 exons. The record is from RefSeq and is a predicted model, not a curated record. NCBI's taxonomy places the organism in Eukaryota, Viridiplantae, Streptophyta, Magnoliopsida, Myrtales, Myrtaceae.
ACACCGCCUCUCUCCUCCUGCGACAAGCGUCUCCUCCUGCGAGCAGAGAAGUCCAUCGUCUUCUCCAGCGCCGACAGUGGCCUCUGUCUUGAGAGCAUCCGCCUUCUCCACCGUCGUCCUCUCCGGCGCCGACAGCCGUUGCUCCUUCACCAGGUGAACAAUACUGGCAUUGGUGGAUCCAUUAUCGACGCUGAUGCUUUGAGAACUUCGGUGGAUCCAUCCAAAGUUCCGCCUUACCGAUGUCAAUCCACGAAGACAUAUUCUUUUUCCCUUGCUCUGUCCGGAAUUUGCCAGUCCCUGCUACAUAAAUCGCAAUUUGCUGAAUUUGGAAACAAUCAUCCGCACGCUAAGGUACUAUAGAAGGGGGAUCAAAUAGUGUGUCUAAUGAGCAAGUACAACCAGUUGAACAAUUCUUGGGUGAUGACAUUAACAUAUUGGUAGCGUGGCUCUGCUUAGCUGCGAUGGACACGUCCCUCCAUACGAGAGAACCUAUUAGGGACAGUCAAUUAUCAGGAGGAGAAUGGAUAAGGGAGAUUGUUCAUGGACAUUCAGAUAGGAUAUAGGAAGCAUUUAGGAUGGAGAGACAUGUUUUUCUGAAUUUAUGUGACUUAAUGAGGGUAAGGGGUUGGUUGAAAGAUAGUCGAUUUGUUCAAAUAGAUGAACAAGUUGGGAUAUUUUUAAGUGUGGUUACUCACAAUAACUCAAAUAGAGAUUUAUGUGAGAGAUUCCAACAUUCAAGAGAAACGAUAAGCAAGUAUUUCAACAAAGUGUUGAAAGC